Molecule: ribosomal RNA, 245 nt
Filed under: uncultured bacterium
Lineage: Bacteria
Description: partial 16S ribosomal RNA
Rfam family: Bacterial small subunit ribosomal RNA
Source: RNAcentral
GAUCCUGGCUCAGGACGAACGCUGGCGGCACGCCUAACACAUGCAAGUCGAACGGAGAAAAUAGCUUCGGUUGUUUUCUUAGUGGCGGACGGGUGAGUAACACGUGAGGAACCUGCCUUUGAGAGUGGGAUAGCUUCUGGAAACGGAUGGUAAUACCGCAUAACAUAGUGAAACCGCAUGAUUUUGUCUAUCAAAGUAAUUUCGUCUCAGAGAUGGCCUCGCGUCUGAUUAGAUAGUUGGUGAGG